GCCUAUGGCCAUACCACGCCCAAUCUUGUCUGAUCUCGGAAGCUAAGCAGGGUCGGGCCUGGUUAGUACUUGGAUGGGAGACUGCCUGUGAAUACUGGGUCCUUGUAGGCC
RNAcentral lists this ribosomal RNA (111 nucleotides) under Anolis carolinensis (green anole). The record is from RNAcentral. Lineage: Eukaryota; Metazoa; Chordata; Lepidosauria; Squamata; Anolidae.